RNAcentral lists this ribosomal RNA (142 nucleotides) under uncultured eukaryote. Its description in RNAcentral is "partial small subunit ribosomal RNA". The record is from RNAcentral.
AUCAAGCAGGAUACCGUUGGAAUUAAAGAGCACAAAUACCUUGCGUUUUUUCAGAUGCGCUACCAUCCUGAAAAGCUCUUUGUUUAAGAGCGGUUCGCCGACGCCGUGAAGCGUUGCGCGCUCCAACCCGGGCAAUUGGUCU